UGACCUCAAGUCAUGUGAGAUCACCCGCUGAACUUAAGCAUAUCAAUAAGCGGAGGAAAAGAAACUAACAAGGAUUCCCCUAGUAACGGCGAGUGAAGCGGGAAGAGCACAAAUUUAAAAUCUACCUGGUUUCCAGGUCGAGUUGUAAUUUGAAGAUACGUUUUUGACGUUCCUGGUUGGACUAAAUCCUUUGGGAUAGGGUAUCAUAGAGGGUGAGAAUCCCGUGUAUACCAACCACAGGGAUGUUAUUUAAUAACGUUUCUAAGAGUCGAGUUGUUUGGGAAUGCAGCUCUAAAUGGGUGGUAAAUUUCACCUAAUGCUAAAUAUAAGCGAGAGACCGAUAGCGAACAAGUACAGUGAUGGAAAGAUGAAAAGAACUUUGAAAAGAGAGUUAAAUAGUACGUGAAAUUGUUGAAAGGGAAACGAUUGAAGUCAGUCAUGCCGGCGGGAAUCAACUUAGGGGAAACUCUGGGUGCACUUCUUCGUUUGGCAGGUUAGCGUCGAUUUUGGAUGUCAUAAAAUAAUUGGGGGAAGGUAGCUCCUUCGGGAGUGUUAUAGCCCUUGGUAGAUGUGAUAUUUGGGAUCGAGGAUUGCAACGGAUACCCUUCGGGGCUAGCCGCCUAAUCUCUAAUUGGUGUUGGGUUACGGACAGCAUGCUGACCGUGAUCUAAUUACUGGUUAAAAGGUUAGAGCGUGCAUAAAUUCGUUAAGGACGCUGACGUAAUGGCUUUAAACGACCCGUCUUGAAACACGGACCA
Molecule: ribosomal RNA, 758 nt
Filed under: Gigaspora margarita
Lineage: Eukaryota; Fungi; Glomeromycota; Glomeromycetes; Diversisporales; Gigasporaceae
Description: eukaryotic LSU rRNA
Rfam family: Eukaryotic large subunit ribosomal RNA
Source: RNAcentral